This 438-nucleotide ribosomal RNA is filed under the name Sphaeroma terebrans. RNAcentral describes it as "partial 16S ribosomal RNA". It matches the Rfam family "Archaeal large subunit ribosomal RNA", at positions 1929 to 2627 of the family's 2987-position model. The record is from RNAcentral. Lineage: Eukaryota; Metazoa; Arthropoda; Malacostraca; Isopoda; Sphaeromatidae.
GUGAAUAAACUACCGGUAUAUCUGCCCAGUGAAUUUUCAACGGCCGCAGUAUCCUAACUGUGCUAAGGUAGCAUAAUAACUAGUUUUUUAAUUGAAAACUCGUAUGAAAGAAUCGACGAGGGGAGACCUGUCUCAAUAAUUCUAAUAACUUACUAUGAGGGUAAAAAAGCCCUAAUAUUCUAAUGGGACGACAAGACCCUAUAAAACUUUACUCCUCCUCCUAAUUUAGUUUAUUCUGUAUAGGAUUCGAGUUAUACUGGGGCGGUAAUUUUUAACUUAAACAUUUAACACCUUAACAUCCUUCAUGAACUUACUAAACCCUUCUAAGUAAUAAAGAACAAGUUACUUUAGGGAUAACAGCGUAAUAUUUCUAUAGAGUCCUUAUCGACAGAAAUGAUUUCGACCUCGAUGUUGAAUUGAAGAUUCUUUGCAGAGCAG